AAUCAACGCUGGCGGCGUGCCUAACACAUGCAAGUCGAACGCGAAAGUGGAGCAAUCCAUGAGUAGAGUGGCAAACGGGUGAGUAACGCGUGGGUGACCUGCCUUCGAGUGGGGGAUAACGUUCCGAAAGGGACGCUAAUACCGCAUGACAUCCUGCCUUUGAAGAGGCGGAGAUCAAAGCCGGGGAUCGCAAGACCUGGCGCUUGAUGAGGGGCCCGCGUCUGAUUAGCUAGUUGGUGGGGUAACGGCCCACCAAGGCAACGAUCAGUAUCCGGCCUGAGAGGGCGGACGGACACACUGGGACUGAGACACGGCCCAGACUCCUACGGGAGGCAGCAGUGGGGAAUUGUUCGCAAUGGGCGCAAGCCUGACGACGCAACGCCGCGUGGAGGAUGAAGACCUUCGGUCGUAACCCC
Molecule: ribosomal RNA, 416 nt
Filed under: uncultured bacterium
Lineage: Bacteria
Description: bacterial SSU rRNA
Rfam family: Bacterial small subunit ribosomal RNA
Source: RNAcentral